RNAcentral lists this transfer RNA (74 nucleotides) under bacterium. RNAcentral's name for it is "tRNA-Gly". It matches the Rfam family "tRNA". From Rfam's summary of the family: Transfer RNA (tRNA) molecules are approximately 80 nucleotides in length. Their secondary structure includes four short double-helical elements and three loops (D, anti-codon, and T loops). RNAcentral also lists the same sequence under 1 other name. The record is from RNAcentral.
GCGGGUAUGGUUUAGUGGCAGAACGCAACCUUCCCAAGGUUGAGAUACGGGUUCGAUUCCCGUUACCCGCUCCA